This 19-nucleotide unclassified non-coding RNA is filed under the name Chlamydomonas reinhardtii. RNAcentral's name for it is "small RNA Cre_1625". Lineage: Eukaryota; Viridiplantae; Chlorophyta; Chlorophyceae; Chlamydomonadales; Chlamydomonadaceae. The record is from RNAcentral.
GAUACAGCGCAGUGGCGGC